Molecule: non-coding RNA, 21820 nt
Organism: Callithrix jacchus (white-tufted-ear marmoset)
Lineage: Eukaryota; Metazoa; Chordata; Mammalia; Primates; Cebidae
Source: RefSeq, a predicted model, not a curated record
CAAUAAUACGCCUUCUGAUUGGUCUUCCGUUGCCAUAGUUUCCCAUCGGUGACAAUAACACGUCUCCUGGUUGGUUAGCUUUGGCCAACAGUUGCCGCACAAACUGCCUACUGAGCACGCGGGCAGCCCGGCUCCGGUCACUGCGCAUGCUCCCCAGCUGUGCCUGCUGCAGACUGGCGAAGCUGAGUGAAGGGUUCCGGCCGGAGGAGGUUCCGGGUGCCUCUUGUUCUGCUCCCUCGGCCGGACGUGCGUUCGGGCAGGCUUAAGGGUCGCUGGAGCUGCCUGAAACGCGCCUCUCCUGCUCACAGGCCCCUGGGCGCCGGGGAGCACACAAUUAGAGCAGUUGAGCCCUUGCAGUCUGAUGACCUUUUCCACCGCUCUACCGGAAUGAUGCUUCUUUCAGACCACAGCUGACUUCCUCCUCUGUAUAACCCUGCUGGGUACCUGUCGAAGAGUGAAAAGCAGAUUCUGUGUGUUCCUGCUGGGUGUGAUGGUGCACACCUGUAGCCCCAGCUGCUCAGGAGGCUGAGUUGGGAGGACUCGUUGAUCCCAGGAGUUCAAAGCUGCUGAGUGAGAGCCAUGAUCGCACCACUGCACACCAGCCUGGGCAAAAGAGAACGACCCUGUCUCAAGAAAAGAAAAAACCCACAGGCUUUUAAUUAUAAACAGUCGCAAAAAGAACGACCAGAUGUGAUCCACAGGAGUUAGUUGACUGGCAGUGAUAGAGGAAGAGGAAGAAAGGAGUAAAGAAGCCUUUCCGGUUUCGUGCUUGACUAAUGGGCAGAAUUUGGUUUCACCCACUAACGGUAUGGCAACAAGUGUUAUAGGGUAUGGAACUUACUUCUACAAGAUUACAUUUGAAUAUGGCUAUUUAUUUAGAGCGAGAAAUCAGAAAUUUUUCAAAGCUAACAUACCACUGUUUAAAACUCAAUGUGUUGAAAUUUUCUUUUUUGAGGUCUCAUUAGUUUUUAUUACCUAUUCAUGAAUCUGGUAGCAUCCUAUUCAUAAAAUAGAGCAAGCUCCCUGAGCUGAGCAGAGGACAUGGCCUUUGUAAGCUGAAGAGGACUAAAGAAGCAGAAACUGACCAAAAAGCAGAUGGUUCAUUUCAAAGUUACUCUCCUUACAUGGUUGAGACAGGAGACCUCUUUAUCAUGCCAACUCAGGUAAGUUGCACCCUGCCCUGGUUGCUGUAAGUCUCCUGGUUUGUUUUUGUUUGUUUGUUUUUUGAAAACUGGCCCAUUUGAAAGUUUAGUUUAAUUACAUGUCAUCUAACACUGUUAUCACAUAAUUAGACAUUGCCCAGGAUAUACAAGUAGCAACUUUCUCCAUGGGCAAAUGGCAGAGGCAUUCAGUGUGCCAAUGGGGGACAGUGUCAAAUUUCCCAGUAGUGCUCUGUAUUCACAGCUUCAGCUGUUGGCAUCAGAAAGAGAUCUCUGCCACUAUGGAGGGCAGUUUAUAUUCGGUCAGCUGCCUGCCCUUUUGGCCAAGAGAAAUGUGAUUAGGAGAACAUAAACAGUAUGGCAUAGGUGGGCUCAAAAAUAGAUGGUGCUAGGGACAUAAAUGCAUAGGUGGAAUUGUCCUUGACUAUAGGUAUAAAUAUAGAUAUAGUCCUUGAUGACAGAUAGAUAGACUGAUUGAGUCCUUGAAUACAUACACACACACACACACACACACACACACACACACACACACACACACAGUCUAGUGCUCCUAGGCUGCAAAGCUGAGCAGCAUGUUACCAUACUGAAUGCUGUAAGCAAUUGUAACACAAUUGUAAGUAUUUGUAUAUCUAAAUAGAGAAAAGAUAUAGUAGGGCUGGUGUGGUGGCUCACGCCUGUAAUCCAAGCACUUUGGAGGCCAAGGUGGGUGGAUCACCUGAGGUUGGGAGUUCAAGACCAGCCUGACCAACAUGGUCAAACCCCCUCUUUAAAAAAUAUAUACGUUUAUAUUAAAAUAAAUAAAUAAAUAAAUAAAUAAAUAAAAAGAUAUAGUAAAAAUAAAGCAUAAAAUAUUUAAAAUGGUACACCUAUAUAGAUCACUUACCUUAAUUGGAGCUUUCAGGAUGAAGUUGCUCUGGGUGAGUCAGUAAGUGCUGAGUGAAUGUGAAGGCCAAGGACAUUACUCUGCUGUAGACUUCGUACACACUGUACAUUAGAUUCCUAUUUUUUAAAUAAAGUAAUGACACUACUAUGUUACAAUGGCUAUGGUGUUUUCACUAGAUGAUAGGAUUUUUUUGGCUUCACUAUAAUCUUAUGGACCACUGUCAUAUAUGCAUCUGCAGUUGACUGAAAUGUCAACCAUAUUUGACAUUUCUAGCCCAUAAGUGUAGUGGAGAAAACAUAGGAUAAUAGUUUUUAAAUCUUUAAGAUUUUGCUUGGGAUGAUGCUAAGGUCAAUAGUCAUUACAAAGUAUUGAUUCUCAGAAGAUCUUGGAAUCUCCACAGAGCUGAAUAAACCCACUGUUUUUGUAUACAAAUUGAAGAGUGUUCAGCCGGGGCACCGUGAGAUCUCAGCAUGCUUCUGAGAACAUCCAAAGUGAAUUUAUGUGAACUCAGGCCUGGGAUGUAAUUAAAGAAAGCUGUGACGUCAUCAGUUGUGUUGUAAAUUGACCUUCCUAGUUGGUAGCAGGAGGGUGCUGAACUGAAUGUCAGACCCUUGGACGCAAAAGGAAACUUGCGUAUCUCAGUGAAUGGAAAGAUCUUGAACUAGAACACCUUCUAUCAAGUCAUGAACAACUUCUCCAAACUGGAACCAGUACUCUGCCUCUAUUUGGUCAGUUCCCAUUCAUGUUUUUAUUUUGCUAUUUGCACAGAUAAAACAAGAAGGCAUUGCUGUUAUAAAAAGUGUAAGCAAUACUAUUUUUUGAAUAUUGCAUAAAAUGUGGACGUUUCCAUCAUGUCACACCCAAUCCCACUUUCUUACCCAGAGGUUACAGCUGUGUAUUUAUGCAGUAGAUGCCUGUCAGUCCUUUGGCCUUUCCCUUCUUGAGGUCACUAAGAUGGUCAUGCAAACGGCCACCCCUUCCAACAGAGCCCAUGUGAUCUGAGGGGAAGUUGACUCCACCCACCCGCCCGUAAUGGGCCACCAUCAGUCUAGGGCUGUGUCUUACCAAAAUGUGGACCUUGAAGCCUAAAGCCUCCUCAAGACCCUUUCAGGUGGUCUGAGGAAAAAAUAUUUUCACAGUGAUACUGAGACAUCAUUUGCCUUUUACCUAUUAGAUUUGCAGUGGGGAUGCAAAAGCAGGGGUAGGUAAAUCCACUGGCACCUCGCUGGGAGUAAGGCAGUGACACAGAAAUGUACCUACUAGUGACCACCGUGUUCUUCAUCACAUGUGAUCAUGGCAAACAACGCUACACUUGAGAAUAUCCUCAAUGCAGUAACAACAACAACAAAAUCAGUUUUAUUAAAUCUUAGCUGUGGAGUAACAUCUUAAUAAUCCUUCAUGUGACUAAACGGAACUUGCACGGGGCACGUGGGAUGCAUACCCAAGUGCAAUAGCUCCCCUGCAGGAAGCGACCUCUGAGCUGCGCGCUGAGCCAGCUGCUUUCUUCACGGAGAGUCUUUUACUUGAAAGAAUAGCUAGCAGUUAAACUGGUGAGUCUGGCAGACUUUUUUUUUUUUUUUUUCCAAAAACAAAUUCACUUCAAAAGAAAACAACGGGUAAUAUUGCCAACAAUAAAAUUGGAACUUUCAAAUGAAAACUUGAGUCUUGGAAAACUUAUAUUGUUCUAUGAGCCUCAUACCUUCUCAAUUCUUGAAGACUUUUUCAUGAGAUCUGCGGCAAUGGCAACCAUUGUGGGUUUUCAAAACUGUAUGAUGAAAUGCAUUUGGAAAGUUGGCACAAUGCAGUAAACCAACAUUUUGAAUAAUGCAUGAUGUUUAAAAAUGAUGAAUGGGUAAAUGGCUCUUGUAAGCUUAAGAUAUACCAAUGGGUUUUAAUUUAAGUACAAAAAUUUCAUUGAUAUGAUCUCAAACUUUACAUGGCUGCUAACCUUUAAGCAAUUACCAGUUUCUGAGUUUUAGUAUAAUAUGAAAGAAUAGUCACUUUAUCUGAAAAGGUUAUAAAGAUACCCCUUCCAGGCUGGGCACUGCGGGUAGUUCAUGCCUACAAUCCCAGCACUGUGGGAGGCUGAGGUGGGCAGAUUGUUUGAACUCAGGAGUUUGAAACCAGCCUAGGCAAUAUGGCAAAACCCAAUGUUUCACCACAAAAAAUACAAGAAUUCGCCAUACAUGGUGGUGCAUACCUGUAUUCUCAUCUAGCUACACAGCAGGCUAAGGUGGGAAGGUCACCUGAGCCCAGGAGGCUGCAGUGAGCUUAGAUCAUGCCACUGUAUUCCAGCCUGGAGGACAGAAUGAGACCCUGCUCCCCGCCCCGCCCCACCCCACCCAAAAACCCUUCCUUUUUCUAAUUACACAUCUAUGUAAGGCUGGAUUUUCUUCAUACACUUCAGCCCAAAAUAAAAUAAAAUGCAGCAGAUUGAAUGCAGAAUCAGGUACAAGCAUUCCAGCAUCUGUUUUAUUAAACCACAUUAAAGAGACUUAAAAAAAAAAAGUAAAACAAUGCCACUCUUCCUAAAUUUUUUAUUGUGUUUGAAAAUAGUCUUUUAAGGACAAUGUUAUAAAGCACAUGUGCAUUCAGGCACAGAAGUCAUACAAAAUAUGAAAAACUCAAAUGGCCAGGUGGUUGAUGCUUUUUUUAAUUUAAUUUUUUUUCUCUUUCUUUCUUUCUUUUUUUUUUUGAGACGGAGUCUUGAGACUGUCACCCAGGCUGGAGUGCAGUGCCACAAUCUUGGCUCACUGCAACCUCCGCCUCCUGGGUUCAAGUGAUUCUCCCACCUUAGCCUCCUGAGUAGCUGGGACUGCAGGCAUGUGUGCCACCAUGCCUGGCUAAUUUUUGUAUUUUUAGUAGAGACAGGGUUUCACCAUGUUGGCCAGACUGGUCUUGAACUCCUGACCUCAAGUUAUCUGCCUGCCUUGGCCUUCCAAAGUGUUGUGAAGCUCCAGGCCAGCUGAUGCUUUUAUACCAUCUUGAGGUUACAAAAACAAUGGAGACGUGGGUCCUGGCAAAACAAGUUAUGAUGGCAAAAGAGAUUAUGGGUUAUGAGAGGGAAAGAAGAGGAGGCCUGGUACCUAAGGCAGUCUUGUUAUGCAGAUGAAGCCAAGGUAGUAGCCCUCAGGAAAAAUAGACAGUAGGUAGGCCAUGGGAAGUAUUUGUCAGACUCUAAAAGUUUAGGACUCUCAGGUUAUCUUUCCUAGAUCUGGACAAGGGGGGCUUCAAAGAAAGCCUUCUUACAUCCAUUGUUUCCUUCACUUUAUUUCCUCGUUAUACACAUCAGCCAAAAAAAAAAAAAAAGGCUAAACAUUGCAGCCGAUUGAAUGGAGAAGCAGGUAUAAGCAUCAAACCUCCUUCCCCUGCCACCAACUCAAAAGGGGAGACUAGCUUUGCAGGACAAUUCUUGUGUUUACAGGCCUCCUGAAUAGCCAUUUUGAAGUAUGUCAAAGAAGUCUAUUUUGAGGUGAAAUAUUUGGUGUCCUUUUCCUCCCAGCCUUCACAAAGAACCAACCCUGUUGACAGCUUGUUUAAAAACUUUCUGCUCCCCGCACUGAGAGACAAUAAAUGGCUUUUUCAAAGCCCCCCAGUGUGUGGCACUGUGUUAUGGCAGCUCUGGCAAACUCUGAUCAAAAUACUUCCAGCUCAGAAAAAAUCCAAACGAAGUCCUUCCCAUGGCCGGCAAGGCUGCCCCAUGAGCUGCUUCCCUGACCUCAGUACACAGCUCUGCCCAGAUCAUCUACGCUUAGGUGUGCCUUGACUGACCGUCAGGACUAAGCCAACUGCAAUGUGACCUAAAAGGAAGAAGCUGGGGCAAAAUUAACAUAAAUAGGGAGUGUAUUGGAGCCAAGUUGAGGAUUGCAACCCGGGAGCAUAGAUUCAAGUAGCCCUGAACAUACACUGCAAUUAGCAGCAAUUACAAGUGGGGUUUUAAAGGGAAAUGGGGACAGAGAGUGGGCAGAUACAAAGUGGCUUGUCAGGAAAUCUCUUUGGUUCACAUAAAUAACACUGAUUAGUGAUUGGCUCUAUAUUGCUAAGCUGUAGGUUGUGGGUUAUAGUGUCAGUUGCAGCAUUAUUAGGUCAAUUUAUAGCUACUUGUGGGGCAUUAUUAGGUCAGUAGCUUGCUCUGAGACCCUUGCCUAGCUGUGCCCUCCAAUCAUUUGCCCAAUACCAGUUAGAUCCCCUACUGACACAGUAUUUUUCUCAACACCUUUACCAGUCUUGCAGCUGGGUGCCCAUCUACUUGGCCCACUGCACUCAGCUCCUUGAGGGAGGGAGCACGUGAGUGAGUGAAUGUGGGACCCGGCCAGGUACUAGAAGUGCCAACACCUCCUUGGACCUUAGACUCUCUAUGGAAGAGAGUGUGUGUGCCAUGCUGAGUUCCUGGCACACUCCCACUGCGUGGGUACACAUGGGUGCUUUCCCAAUCCUCCUUCUUCCUGGGAGGUGCUCCUAUCACCAUGCAAUGGGUUCAUCUUGCCUGCUGCCAAGAUAAAGCUGGUUUAUUAAGAUGGGGAUGGCAGUAGAAAGAGUUUAACUCAUGCAGAGCCAGAUGAGUGGGAGACCAGAGUUCUGUUACACAAAUCAGAGACUAUGGUUUUUCACGGAUAGUUUAGGCAUUGCUCAUUGGUUGGGGAUGCAAUCACAGUGGUGUGGAAAACGGUCCCCAUGCAUGCUAUGCUGAGCCUACUUCAUGGUGAGGACACAGGACCAGUUGGUGAUCCCAGUGUGUCAGUCGUCAAAAACGUAAAUUCCUGAAAGGACAUCUCAAGAGGCCAGUAUUAGGUUCUGCAAUAGUGAUGUUAUCUGUAGGAGUAAUUGGGGAAAUUUCAAAUCUCAUGACCUCUGGAAUAAUGGUUGGUAACCAUUCACAUCUUCACCUUAGCAGAACUCAGGCUCCCCUCAUGUUUCUACCUGAUGGCAUUUUCUUAGCUCUACAAAGGAGGUUUAGUUUUGGGGAAGAGAUAUUGUCAUUUAAACUGUAAACUAAAUGUCUACCAAAGUUAGCUUGGCCCAAGCCCAGGAAUGAUUAGGAGCGGUUUGGAGGUUAAAGGCAAGAUGGGAGCUGGUUCGGUCAGAUCUCUUUGGCCAUCAUGAUUUUCUCUUGUGAAGGUGGUUUUGCUCCCUGGAAGCACUGCUCUGUGAGACAGAAUUACAGAACCAAAUUCGUACUAGGAAAUCAUCCCCUGGAGCCCCUGGUGAUUGGAUCCAAGGUAAUUAAGUCACAGACCAAGUAUCUAAGUCAUCAGAAACAAAAAAAUUACAGCCAAACAGAACUAAGCACUAGAGCACAGAAGUAAUAGAGAAUUACAGUCAUAAUUGGUACUGUGGUGUGUUAUUAGUCCAUUAUCAUGCUGCUAUAAAGAAAUAGCUGAGACUGGGAAAUUUAUUUUAAAAAGAGGUUUAAUUUCCAUGGCUGGGGAGGCCCCAGGAAACUUACAGUAAUGGUAAAAGGCUAAGCGGAAGCAGGAACCUUCUUCACAAGGCAGCAGGAGAGUGAGUGCCAGCAGGGGAAAUGCAAGAUGCUUAUAAAACCAUCAGAUCUCACGAAAACUCACUAUCAUGAGAACAGCAUAGAAGCAACCACCCCCAUGAUCCAAUCACCUCCACCUGUUUCCUCCCUCAACACCUAGGGAUUAUGAGGAUUAAAAUUCAAGAUGAGAUUUGGGUGGGGACACAGCCAAACCAUAUCAUAUGGAAACCCCAAACCACAUACAUGUUGAUGUGGAGAACAGGAAGUAAUGAAGCUGGCAGCCUCAUUUGAAGAAGAAUGUACAGUGCCUUUCAAAGCUGUGUUUACCCUUAAUGCUCCUGCACAUGCUUCCUUUAUUGGUAAUCUUUAUCCCAUUAUUGAGAUGGUGUUUCUCCUUUCAAAACACCGCUUCUUUGAUUCAACCAGUGGACCAAGGACUUACAGUGCCUUUAAGGCCUGCUACCUAAUAAGGACUUUUGCCCAGGCUAUUGCUGUGGCUGAGAAAGAUGCCGAGAAGACACUGAUGCAACUCUGGAAGGAUUAUAAUACCUGUGACUGCAUCAAGAACCUAUGCAUGGUCACCAAGGCAUGUGUGAAUGGAAUCUGGAUGAAGACACUCAAGAGGUUUAUCCAUGACUUCAAAGAGUUAGCUAGGAUAAGGAGGUUGCAAAAACCAAGGCUGUGGUUGUCAUAAACUACUCUAACCAGGUGUAAAUGAGGGUGAUGUGGAGGAGUUCCUUGAGGUGGUUCUUGAGGAAUUGAAGAAUGAGGAGCUGUUGGAACUGGAAGAGGAAUGCAUAGCUGAACAAGAGGCAAGAGAAAAGGAAACCGAGAGAAAAAAAGAACUCCCAAGAAAAUUAACAGUGAAGUGUUUGCCAGAAGCUUUUGUAGACCUCAGCUACUUAAAAAGUUUGAAAACAUAGAGCCCAACACUAAAAGGUUCUUAUUAAUAGAAAAGAAUGUAUAUGGUCCAUUAUCUGUUUGUAGGCAAAUCUGUGAUGUAAAAAAGAAACCAAGCAAACCACCACAGACGUAUUUCCGAAAACAGCAACACUUCCUAAAAAGCCUCAGGGAGGUCCUUCAGGAGAGCUCCAGAAGGAUGCAUUGUGGUCACAGGAGAGGACAGCUCCAUACCUGUUAUUUCCCCUGAAGACUUUCCAGUGGGAUAAGAUGUGGCGAUUGAAAACGUGAUAGUGAUGAUCCUGACCCUGUGUAGGCCUAGGCUGACGUGCGUGUUUGUGUGUUAGUUUUUAAUAGAACAGUUUAGAAAGUAAUCAAAAGGUUUUAAAAUGGCUUAUAGCAUAAGGAUACAAAGAAAGGAAAUAUUUUUGUACAGUUGUACAAUGUAUGUUUUAAGCUAAGUGUUAUAAGAAUGAAAACAUUUUUAAAAAUUAGUUUAUAAACAAGUUACAGCAAAGUAAGGUUAAUUUAUUGAAGAAAUAAAUUUUGCAAAGUAAAUGGAGUAUAGCCUCUAAGUGUACAGUGUUUAUCGUCUAUGACAGUGUAUGGUAAUGUCCUCGACCUUCGUGUUCACUCACCACCCACUCACUGACUCACCCAGAGCAACUUCCAGUCCUACAAGCUCCAUUCAUGGUAAGUGCCCUGUGGAGGUGUAUCGUUUUUUAUCUUUUAUGCUGUAUCUUACUACACUUUUUAUGUUUCCAUUAUACGAAUACCAUUAUAUUACAGUUGCUUACAGUAUUCAGCAGAACAACGUGGUGUAUGGGUUCGUAGCCUAGGAGUAAUAGGCUGCAGCAUCCAAGUCCGUGUGAGUGCACACUGAUGUCCACACGGUCACUGCAUUGUCCACCGAAGCAUUCCUCGGAGCACGUCUCCAUCCUUAAGCACCGCAGGACUGUACUUCACUUUGUUAUAAAGGAGCUGCACAGUGACUUAAUAUGAUGCGUGCACAACAGCAGAAUAAAUAAUGAAAUGAGGUAAGAGACCAUGAAGAGCAGGCAAGCACAGGGAGGGCAAGAUGAGGUCAGUGCCACGCAGACCCUCUGUGGUUCAGCACUUUAGGCUGAGGUCAAUGCUAAGCUUUUUGAGCCCAGCCUGGGUUUCUCUGUGGAAGGUUUUAAACCGUAGAUUUUACACACACGCACACACAUGCACACUGAUUUUGAAAAUUAAAAAUUAAAACUUUUAAUGGCUUUCAGAUAUGUACAAUUGAAAUUUCUAUUUUAUCUUGUGUCAAAUUUGAUAAGUUGUGCUUUUCAAGAAAUUUGUUCACUUCAUCUAAGUUGUCAAAUUUGUUAGCAAGAAGUUGUUUAUAAUAUUCUUUAUCUCUAUGUCCUCGUUUUUGUACCUGAUAUUGGUGGUCUUGUUUUCCCACCUUUUCCCCAUUGACCAAACAAACAAGGACUUUGUCAAUUUAUUAUUAUUAUUAUUAUUAUUAUAUUAUUAUUUUGAGACAGAGUCUCACUCUGUUGCCCAGGCUGGAGUGCAGUGGCUCAAUCUUAGCUAACUGUGACCUCUCUCUCCCAGAUUCUAGCAAUUCUCAUGCCACAAACUACCAAGUAGCUGGGAUUACAGGCAUGUGCCACCAUGCCAGGCUAAUUAAUUGUAUUAAUAUUUUCAAAGAACCAACUCUUGGCUUCGCUGAUUAUUGUUUGCCUGCUUUUAGAUUCACUGAUUUUUUACCUAAUUUUUUAUUUAUUUCCUUCUACUUUCUUUGUAUUUAAUUUGAUUUUUUGUUUAGCUUUUUGAGUUGGAAACUGACUGAGUUUUAACCUUUUUUUCUCAGCAAUGAAUUUAAAACCGUGUAUUUUCUUGUAAGUUCUCCUUUAACUGUAUCCGUUAGUCUUUUUUCUUUAACCUUAACCUUUUUUUUUUUUUAGAGACCAGGAUCUCACUCUGUUGCCCAGGCUUGAGUGCGCUGGCAUGAUCUCGGCUCACUGCAGCCAUGACUUCAUGGGCUCAAGCGAUCCUUCUGCUUGAGCCUCCUGAGUGACUGAGACUACUGGUACAUGCCACCAUGCCCGCUUAAUUCUUUUCCCCUAGAGAUGGGGUCUUGCUAUGUUUACCAGGCAACAAAAUUUGACAACUUUUGUUUUAGUAUAGCUCUCCCUCCUUUUUUUGUAUUUUUGAUUUUGUUUUAUUUUAUUAGGACAAGGUUUUCCUCUGUCAUGCUGGCUGGAGUACAGUGGUGCUAUGAUAGCUCAUUGCAGCCUUAACUCUGGGGCUCCAAGUAUACGGGACUGCAUAUGCCACCACUCCCAGCUAAACUUAAAAAUGUUCUGUAGAGGCCGGGCGUGGUGGCUCAAGCCUGUAAUCCUAGCACUUUGGGAGACCGAGGCGGGUGGAUCACGAGGUCAACAGAUUGAGACCAUCCAGGUCAACAUAGUGAAACCCCGUCUCUACUAAAAAUUACAAAAAAUUAGCUGGGCAUGGUGGCGCGUGCCUGUAAUCCCAGCUACUCAGGAGGCUGAGGCAGGAGAAUUGCCUGAACCCAGGGGGUGGAGGUUGCAGUGAGCCGAGAUCACGCCAUUGCACUCCAGCCUGGGUAACAGCAGUGAAACUCUGUCUCAAAAAAAAAAAAAAAAAUGUUCUGUAGAGAAAUGAUCUCACCAUGUUGCCCAGGGUGGUCUUUAACUCCUGACCUCAAGCAGUCCUUCUCCCUUGGCCUCCCAGAGUGCUGGGAUUACAGGUGUGAGCAACCGUGUGCGGCGCACUUGCCCUUCCUACUGAUGGUGAUUAGGUUAUAGGGCCUUUUGCCUAGGUGGAGCCUCUGAGUUUGCGACACUAAAACCUUGCCCUCUGCAUGUCAGAGGCUUUGUGUUCUCUUUUCUACAGUUUCCACUCACGCAAAAGUUACCAUAAGAGGAGCCAGGAAGGGCUGUUGGGAUGUUGAGCCUGCCUACUAUUUUAACAAUCAGGACAUCAAGGCCAAUAAGCCACAGUCUGCCUGGGUCCUGCGACUGCUAUCAGCUUCUAAUCCCCGGGUCACUGCUCACCAUUCCUUUAACUCCUUCACCAUGUCCGCAGCUGGGCUCACGUGUUUGUACAUGUGCUCAGUCCUCCAUGCUGACUCAGAUUUGACUAAAUGUUGGCUCACGUGUUUGUACAUGUGCUCAGUCCUCCAUGCUGACUGAGAUUUGACUAAAUGUUGGCUCACGUGUUUGUACAUGUGCUCAGUCCUCCAUGCUGACUCAGAUUUGACUUCAUGUUGGCUCACGUGUUUGUACAUGUGCUCAGUCCUCCAUGCUGACUCAGAUUUGACUAAAUGUUGGCUCACGUGUUUGUACAUGUGCUCAGUCCUCCAUGCUGACUCAGAUUUGACUUCGUGUUGGCUCACGUGUUUGUACAUGUGCUCAGUCCUCCAUGCUGACUCAGAUUUGACUUCAUGUUGGCUCACGUGUUUGUACAUGUGCUCAGUCCUCCAUGCUGACUCAGAUUUGACUAAAUGUUGGCUCACGUGUUUGUACAUGUGCUCAGUCCUCCAUGCUGACACAGAUUUGACUUCGUGUUGGCUCACGUGUUUGUACAUGUGCUCAGUCCUCCAUGCUGACUCAGAUUUGACUUCAUGUUGGCUCACGUGUUUGUAUAUGUUGUGCUCAGUCCUCCAUGCUGACUCAGAUUUGACUUCAUGUUGGCUCACGUGUUUGUACAUGUGCUCAGUCCUCCAUGCUGACUCAGAUUUGACUAAAUGUUGGCUCACGUGUUUGUACAUGUGCUCGGUCCUCCAUGCUGACUCAGAUUUGACUUCAUGUUGGCUCACGUGUUUGUAUAUGUUGUGCUCAGUCCUCCAUGCUGACUCAGAUUUGACUUCAUGUUGGCUCACGUGUUUGUACAUGUGCUCAGUCCUCCAUGCUGACUCAGAUUUAACUUCAUGUACUUCCACUCAUCUUAGCAGAGAAAGUGGACUUUAUUGUGAGCAUUUUGAUUUGUUUUCUUUGCAUUGUGACUUAGAUUUUAUUAUAGCACAUCCAGUAGGACAAAAGUCACACCGAAAAACUAUGGAAAGUGAAAUCAAGUCUUUGAUGGCCUUGCAAACUAGAGUGUAGAGUUGCAGGCUUGAAGACCUCUCAGUCCGUUGGCCAGGGGUGCCAGAGCGUAGAAGGCUUUGCCUCCAGCUUCGUUGUGAUUCUCUGGGGAAGUGUGUUGCAGUUGUUUCACUGCUAGCUCUCACUCCUCACCUCCACCACUCACCACCGAUUUUUCUUUCUGUGUGUGGUGGAAUGACACUUGCUGUCAUUUGCUAGGGAUGGUACAGGACCAAUCCAAUAUACCCCUUGCAUUUAGCCUGCCUUUUAAAAACAUUUAAAUUUUUUCCACUUUCUCCUUCACUCCUAUCUUUUAGUUUUAGAGUCUAAUAUUAUUUUUCAACACUACUUUUAAUAGUCGACAGUAUGGUCAUAUUCAGUGUUUGAGGACUUGCAUGCUUUAAAAUGUGUUGAAAAUCACUUUGUUUUUCAAAGGUUUUUUUUUCCUUAUAAAUCAUUUUAAAAAUUCUGAAACAAUAAGACUCUUAAGAUUUAACCAAACCGUUCCUCCCAUCUGUAAUCUUCUAAUAAGUUCUGUCAUUUAAACAAAUUCUUCUUUUCUGUUGAAAGAUAUAUAUUUUGGAAAUGUCCCCUGCCCUGAUUCCUUUCAUUUCUGUGAAGAAAACAUUGGAGACGAACCACUGGAAUGAGCCAUAGUUAUUUGCGCCUGAACAUCCAUCAUUCUUCCAGCCGACGAGGGGACCCCCGUGAUAAUUCCCCUUUGCCUCUGCCAGAAGAUGUCAACAGCAUUCCAUGUAAUGUUACUCUCUCUGUAUAGAUGACCCCAGAUAUGUGUCUCUGGGCUUGGCCUGUGCCCAUUGUAUUAUCCGGCUUCUGCCUGUCUUUCUGACGGCUUUGUUUCCUUUGGACAGACACUGAUACCUCAAAGAAGAGUUGAAAGGUACAGCUUCCAUUGUCUCUGGCUUCCGAGGCUUGUGUCAUGUAUUGUUAAGAGGGGAUAAUAAGCUUCCUUGCUUCCUUUAUUUUCCCUACUUUAUUUUCCUUAGGUUAUCAAAACCUAAGGCUCAGAUUUUUAAAUGAUUAUUUUUUCUUUUGUAAAUCCAUGCCAAUUUCUAUUGUUUCCCAAAUAGUGUAUCACUUUCAGAGGUAUCCUUUCUGCCAAGAGCCUUAUUAUUUAAUAUUACAACUGGGAAAAAUUCCUUCCAUUUAAAUCUUUCUAAACCCCGAUGUGCCUACAGAAUUUUGGCUGUUAACUGCAAGCCUUAAGUGAAAGGUGUAUCACUCCCACAACAUUAUCUCCUACUUAGAUACACUGCACAUAGUCUCUUGUCUUUUCUUUUUUUUUUUUCUGUUUUAUUUUUUUUGAUAGAGUCUCACUCUGUUGCCAAGCUGGAGUGCAGUGGCAUGAUCUCUGCUCACUGCAACCUUUCUCUCCCGGAUUCAAGAGAUUCUCCUGCCUCAGCCUCCCAAGUAGCUGGAACUACAGGCAUGCACCACCAUGCCUGGCUAAUUUUUUGUAUUUUUGUAGAGACGGGUUUUCACCAUGUCAGCCAGGCUGGUCUCAAUCUCUUGACUUUGUGAUCCACCCACUCCGGCCUCCUCAAGUGCUGGGAUUUCAUGCAUGAGCCACCACACCCAGCCUAUACACUACAUACAUUCUAUAUACAUAAAGUAUUUUUUAAAAAUCACUGCAAUACAAAAGACACGAACAGAUACUUUUCAGAAGAAGGCAUACAUACAGCCAACAAGCAUAUGAAAAAAGUUUAGUAUCACUGAUCAUUAGAAAAAUUAAAACCACAACGAGAUACCAUCUUAUGCCAGACAGAAUGGUUAGUAUUAAAAAGUCAAGAAAUACCAGAUGCCAGCAAGGUUGUGAAGGAAAAGGAAUGCAUCCUCACAGUUGGAAUGUAAAUUAGUUCAACCAUUGCAGAAAGCAGUGUAGUAAUUCCUCAAAGAGCCAAAAACAGAACUACCAUUUGACGAAGCAAUCCCAUUACUGAGUAUAUACCCAAAGGAAUAUAAAUCAUUCUACCAUAAGGACACAUGCAAACGACUGUUCAUUGCAGCACUGUUCAUAGUAGCGAGGACAUGGACUCAAACUAAAUGACCAUCAAUGGCAGAUUGCAUAAAGAAAAUGUGGGUCCAUAUACACUGUAGAAUACGAUGAAGACAAGGAAAGAAUAAGAUAAUGUCCUUUGCAGGAAGAUGGAUGGAGCUGGAAGCCAUUAUCCUUAGCAAAUUAAUGUAGGAAGAGAAAACCAAAUACCCGAUGUCCUCACUUAUAACUGGGAGCUAAAUGAUGAGAACACAUGAACACAAAAGGGGAACAACACACACUGAGGACUACUUGAGGGUGAAGGGUAGGAAGAGGGAGAGGAUCAGGAAGAAUAACCAGUGGAGAGUAGGCUUAGUGCCUGGGUGAGGAAACGAUCUGUGCAACGAGCCCCAGUGAUAUGAGAUUACCUAUAUAACAAAUCUGCACAACAAGCCCCAGUGAUGUGAGUUUACCUAUAUAACAGAUCUGCACAGCGGACCCCAGUGAUAUGAGAUUACCUAUGUAACAAAUCUGCACAACGAACCCCAGUGAUGUGAGUUUACCUAUAUAACAGAUCUGCACAGCGGACCCCAGUGAUAUGAGAUUACCUAUGUAACAAAUCUGCACAACGAACCCCAGUGAUGUGAGUUUACCUAUAUAACAGAUCUGCACAGCGGACCUCAGUGAUGAGUUUACCUAUAUAACAAAUCUGCACAGAGGACCCCAGUGAUAGGAGUUUACCUAUAUAACAAAUCUGCACAGUGAACCUCAGUGAUGAGUUUACCUAUAUAACAGAUCUGCACAGCAGACCUCAGUGAUGAGUUUACCUAUAUAACAGAUCUGCACAGCAGACCUCAGUGAUGAGUUUACCUAUAUAACUGAGUUUACCUAUAUAACAAAUCUGCACAGUGAACCUCAAUGAUGAUUUUACCUAUAUAACAGAUCUGCACAGUGAACCUCAGUGAUGAGUUUACCUAUAUAACAGAUCUGCACAGCGGACCUCAGUGAUGAGUUUACCUAUAUAACAGAUCUGCACAGUGAACCUCAGUGAUGAGUUUACCUAUAUAACAGAUCUGCACAGUGAACCUCAGUGAUGAGUUUACCUAUAUAACAAAUCUGCACAGUGAACCUCAAUGAUGAUUUUACCUAUAUAACAGAUCUGCACAGUGAACCUCAGUGAUGAGUUUACCUAUAUAACAGAUCUGCACAGCGGACCUCAGUGAUGAGUUUACCUAUAUAACAGAUCUGCACAGUGAACCUCAGUGAUGAGUUUACCUAUAUAACAGAUCUGCACAGUGAACCUCAGUGAUGAGUUUACCUAUUUAACAGAUCUGCACAGUGAACCUCAGUGAUGAGUUUACCUAUAUAACAAAUCUGCACAGUGAACCUCAGUGAUGAGUUUACCUAUAUAACAGAUCUGCACAGUGAACCUCAGUGAUGAGUUUACCUAUAUAACAGAUCUGCACAGUGAACCUCAGUGAUGAGUUUACCUAUAUAACAGAUCUGCACAGUGAACCUCAGUGAUGAGUUUACCUAUAUAACAGAUCUGCACAGCAGACCCCAGUGAUGAGUUUACCUAUAUAACAGAUCUGCACAGUGAACCUCAGUGAUGAGUUUACCUAUAUAACAGAUCUGCACAGCAGACCCCAGUGAUGAGUUUACCUAUAUAACAGAUCUGCACAGCGAACCUCAAUGAUGAGUUUACCUAUAUAACAAAUCUGCACAGUGAACCUCAGUGAUGAGUUUACCUAUAUAACAGAUCUGCACAGUGAACCUCAGUGAUGAGUUUACCUAUAUAACAGAUCUGCACAGCAGACCCCAGUGAUGAGUUUACCUAUAUAACAGAUCUGCACAGCGAACCUCAAUGAUGAGUUUACCUAUAUAACAAAUCUGCACAGUGGACCCCAGUGAUAGGAGUUUACCUAUAUAACAGAUCUGCACAGCGAACCUCAGUGUUGUGAGUUUACCUAUAUAACAAAUCUGCACAGCGGACCCCAGUGAUAGGAGUUUACCUAUAUAACAAAUCUGCACAGCGGACCCCAGUGAUAGGAGUUUACCUAUAUAACAAAUCUGCACAGUGGACCCCAGUGAUAGGAGUUUACCUAUAUAAUAAAUCUGCACAUAUGCCCUGAACGUAAAAUAAAAGUUUUUAAAAAUUUACUUCAAUAUUUUGUGUUCAUUCUUCUUUUCCUAAUAUUAAUUAAUUUAACAAUUAUUUUGACCUUCCCAUGUAUCACAUAGGAGAAGACAGAAAUGGUCCAUGGCUUCUUGGAUCUAACAGCCCAGUCAGUGAGAAUGACCAGACCUCUUUUCUAAAUUCAACCGGAAUAUUUUAGUCCAUAACUCUUCCACUGAUUACAACUAGGUUCGAGAAUGCAAAAAGCAUCUACCUGAAGACGCUGACGAGUAAACAAUGGCAGGGGAGAGAAAUAACAACUUGAAAAUUACCAUCAACAAUAGUGAGUUUCCAAGAUUUUUUUCUUUCUUCAUCUUUGCCUUCCACACAAGGGUGGCCUGCAACAUGAACUAUAGAACCUCACAGUGGACACACAGCAAAGCCUGUAAGAGAACUCUCCCUUCCUUUCAGCCAGGUGUGGUGGCUCACUCCUCUAAUCCCAGCGUUUUGGGACGACGAGGCAGGAGGAUUGCUUCAGAUAAAGAGUUUGAGAACAGCCUGGCCAACAUGGUAAAACCCUGUCUCUACAAAAUAUACAAAACUUAGCCGGAUGUGGUGGCCUGUGUCUGUCGUCCCAGCUACUCAGGAGGCUGAGGUAUGAGAAUUGCUCGAACCUGGGAGGCAAAGGUUGCAGUGGGCCGAGAUCAUGUCACUGUACUGCAGCAUGGGUGACAGGGUAAGAGUCUGUCUCAAAAAAAAAAAAAAAGAAACACUUCCUUUGUGACCACAGAAAAAUGAGUCAAGAGUGCAGGGGAUGGGAAAUCCCUGUUUACUUUUCUUCCUUUUUUCUUUUUUCUGCCUUGGUCCAGCCACAAGGCCAGCUCACCUUGCAAAGCUACCCUACUGUAGUGGUGAUGGGGGCAACUGAAACCCCAAGAGAAAACUCUCAUUAUGGUCAGAGGAACUGGGAAAAGGGGCCCCUGGGAGGCCAGCCAUGUGGGGGACAUUUCAGAGAGAAGUGCGUUGGAGAAGGACACCCCUUAAUUGUGUGUGUGAAUCUAGCCAACUCUUGAGUUCAUCUAGAGCUGGAAGUGCAGAGAACAGACACAGAGAAGCAUAAAGAAGGCUUGGAGAACUGAGAUAGGAAACACUGCCCACAAAGGAACUUGCCAUCUGAACCAAAACUGGCUGAUUCCUUACUAAAACAAGUCACAAAAAAUCAGCAUGAUCACACAGAGCCCAGAGUUGCUCUGCAUAAUAACCAACAUAUCCAAGAUAGAAUGCAGAAUAACUUGAUAUACAAAUCACCAGGAAUAUAUUCCCAUUUCCCAAGGGAAAAGACAAUCCACAAAUGCCAACCACGAGAGGACCUGGAUAUUAAAAUUAGCACACAAAGUCUUCAAACAGCGAUUAUAACUAUACUUCAAAUAAAUGAAAAAAUGGAAAUGAGUUUUCAGUAGGAAAAUCCAAACUAUAAAGGACAAAAUGAAUAUUUUUAGGGCUGAAAAACAAAAUAUAGCACAAGAAGAUAAAAAAUUCACUGGAUGGGCUUAAUCGUAGAAUGGAGAUGUCCAAGAAACAGUGGAAAAUUAUCAAUAGAUAUUAUCCAGUCUGAAGUAGAGAAAGAACAAAGAUUUAAAACAAAAUGAACAGAGCUCCAGGGACCUAGAGGAUAUUAUCGAAGGGUUUCACCUUUAUGUCCUUGGAGUCCCAGAGGAGAAGAGAGAGAUAGGUGUGGAAAAACGAUUUGAAACAUAACGGCAUGCUUAAAACUUAACCAAAUUUGGGGGAAAACGUAAACUUUCAUAAACCUCAAUCAGGAUACACAUGAAAAAUAUUGUGCCAGGACACAAUAAUCUAACUGCAAGAAGAAGAGAAGAAGAGGGAUGGGGGACCAGUUAGGUGAAAACAGAUACAUAGAGGGGAAGAUGAAUUUGAAGAUUUCUCUUUGGAACCAUGGAGGCCAGAAGACAGUGGAAUAUCUUUAAGUGCUGAAAGAAAAAAACCAAGCCGCCAAACACCAUUCUUCCAACAAUACUCUGUCAUCCCAGAAUUCUAUGUGCAUCAAAAAUGUCCUUCAGAAAUGAAGACAAAAUACAUUUUUGAAUGAAAGCCAAUAAACAAGGUCAGCAAAGUUUCAGGAUGUGAAAUCAACAAACAGAAAAUCAGUUGCAUUUCUACACAUUAACAAUAACCAUCUAAAAGGGAAAUUUAAAAACUUUCAUUUACGAUUCAAAGACUAAAAUCCUUAGGAAUGUAUUCAAUCUAGGAGGCAAAAGGCUUGUGCACGAAAAACCCCCAAAAUAUUGAAAUCGUAAAUGAAACAUUACCCCACGUGCAUGUACUGAAAGACAUAAUAUUGCUAAAACGGGAAUACUACCUAAAGGGAUUUACAGAUUCAGUGAAGUCCCUCUCAUUGUACAAUUUCUUUUUUUAAGAAGUAUUUUUGCUCUGUCUCCCAGGCUGGAGUGCAGUGGCAUGAUCUUGGCUCCCUGGAACCUUGGCCUCCCGGGUUCAAGUGAUUCUCCCACCUCAGCCUCCUGAGUAACUUGGGUAACAGUCACACACCACCAUGCCUGACUAAUUUUUGUAUUUUUGUAGAGAUGGACUUUCGCCAUGUUGGCCAGACUGGUCUUGAAAUCCUGACCUGCAGUGAUCUUCCCACUUUGGCCUCCCGAAGUGCUGGGAUCACAGAAGUGAGCCGCUGCACCCAGCCAGUAUUUUUUAUGGAAACAGAAAGGCACAUCCUAUAGUUCAUAGAAAAUCUCUCUCUCUCCUCUCUCCUCUCUCUCUCUUUGUUGCCCAGGUUGGACUUGAACUCCUUGGCUCAAGUAAUCCUCUCACCUCAGCCUACUGAAUAGCUGGGAUUACAGGUGUGCACUACUGCACCUGACUGUUAUAUGGAAUAUUAAGGGACUCUGAAUAGCUAAAAUAGUCUUGAAAAAGAAGAAUAACGUUGGAGGACUCACAGUUCCUGAUUUCAAAACUUACUGCAAAGCCAUGGUAAUUCAACAGUGUGGUCUUGGCUUAAAAACAGGCAGAGAAGCCAAUGGUAUAGAUAAGAGAGCCAAGAAAUAAGCCACUGCAUAUAUCAUCGGUAGGUCCAAAAAUCCCUCUCCAGGGAAAGGGUGGUCUUAUUAAUGAUGCUGAAAAAACUGGAUAUCCACAUACAAAAGAAUGAAGUUGGACCCUUCCCUUACACCACAUACAAAAAUUGACUCAAAAUGAGUCAAAGACUUAAAUGUAAAAGCUAAAGCCAUAAAACUCAUAGAAGAAAACAUAGGGGAAAAUCUUCAUGACAUUGAAUUUGCCAAUUUCUUGGAAAUGACACCAAAAGCACUGGCAAUAACAGCAAACAAAAUAGGCAAAUUGGACUUUACCUAUAUUUAAACUAUGUACAGCAGUGCAGGGUGGGAAAUUUAAAAAAUUAAAAUUACAAAUGUUUUAAUUCUUCCCUUCAAGUCUGUAUGCUUGAGUCUUCCCAUGCCAGGCAGCAGACAUGUAAGGGGUGAGCCUGUAAACGAUCCCAACACUAGCCCGCACGUCAACCCCGGGGAGCCAGCCCCGAGAGCCCUGCCUGAUUUGCAAGUUCAUGAGUAAAAUAAAUGUAACCUGGCCGGGCGCAGUGGCUCACGCCUAUAAUCCCAGCACUUUGGGAGGCCAAGGCGGGUGGAUCAUGAGGUCAAGAGAUCGAGACCAUCCUGGUCAACAUGGUGAAACCCCAUCUCUACUAAAAAUACAAAAAAUUAGCUGGGCACGGUCGCACACACCUGUAGUCCCAGCUACUCAGGAGACUGAGGCAGGAGAAUUGCUUGAACCCUGGAGGCGGAGGUUGCAGUGAGCCGAGAUCGCGCCAUUGCACUCCAGUCUGGGUAACAAGAGCAAAACUCCGUCUCAAAAAAAAAAAAAAAAAAAGAAAGAAAGAAAAACAAUGUAACCUAAAACUGCUCAAAAAUAGCCUUUUUUUUUUUUUUUUUUUUUUAGAAAACACGAGUAUUAAAAAAAUCAUUUAUAAUCCUUCCAUUGUCCCUUUUCGUUAAAAUAUCAAACAGAAACAUGAGUUUCACUGAUAUGACCUGUUUUCGUGGCUGUUUUCUCUUUGCUUAAUUUCCCUGCCAUGGGAAAGACUGGCUAAUUCUCCUUUCUUCCCAGUCAGAAAUAACUACCAGCAGAGGCUGCUAGAAGGCAGGCAUUAGGAAUCUCUCUGCCGUGGAGAGAUGGGCGGUCCUGCACAGCGCCGGCUUCGCUCUGACGGCUACAGGCACGUCCCUCGGGACAGCACUCGCUCCGUGGCAGAGAUUUCGCAAAGAACUGAGGAUCUUUGUGUCUAUUCUACAGGGCGUCUAUUGAACAUUCCCUAAGAAAGAAGACAGUCUGGACACCUGACAACAGGCGGCAGUCUGUCAACUAUUGUGGCAUCCAGCUGGUCAGAAAGACUCAAAAAUUGGACAUUUUGUGGCUGCUCUCUAGAACCAAAGAAAUGAGAACCUCUUGGUGAAACCCGCUAGACCAGGAGUUAAAACAAAUUAUCUGCCAAAAUUACGAUGUAAAACUGAAGAAAACAACAGAUAACCUGAUUGACAUUUUGGAAAACUACAGAGAAACUGUGACUGGGGAGAAAUGGUUAGGGAAAUUUUCUUAUUGAAAUAGCAGAUUGGGAGGCCUCGUGCUAUUAACCAAAAUCUCUGUUAAAUUCUAAUCAUUGGCCAGGCGCGGUAGCUCAUGCCUGUAAUCCCAACACUCUGGGAGGCAGAGGCAGGCGGAUUGCCUGAGCUCAGGGAGUUCGAGACCAGCCUGGGCAACAUGAUGAAACCCCUUCUCUACUAAAAAUACAAAAAUUAGCCGGGUAUGGCAGUGUGUGCCUGUGGUCCCAGCUACUUGGGAGGCUGAGGCAGGAGAAUCACUUGAACCUGGGAGGCAGAGGUUGCAGUGAUUCGAGAUUGCACCAUUGCACUCCAGCCUGAGGAACAGAGCAAGAUUCUGUCUCAAAAUAAAUCCAAUCAUAAAAUAUCUUUUCUCAAUGUUAAAAGAUCUAAGCAGUCUCCACUAACACCCCCCAUCCUGGACACGGGAGCACUGCCCUGGCUGGCCGUCGGGUGCUCCCACCAGCAUUGUUCAGGAAGUGGGGCGGGGGUGGGGGGGACAGUUGAGGAUUGCCAGGCAGGAGAUGGGGUGGUGGAGAGAAGGAUGUAACAGUCUAA